RNAcentral lists this ribosomal RNA (1378 nucleotides) under uncultured archaeon. RNAcentral's name for it is "bacterial SSU rRNA". It matches the Rfam family "Archaeal small subunit ribosomal RNA". The record is from RNAcentral.
CGGAUCCGCGGCCGCUGCAGACCUGGUUGAUCCUGCCGGAGGCCACUGCUAUGGGGGUCCGACUAAGCCAUGCGAGUCAUGGGGCGCGCUCUGCGCGCACCGGCGGACGGCUCAGUAACACGUCGGUAACCUACCCUCGGGAGGGGGAUAACCCCGGGAAACUGGGGCUAAUCCCCCAUAGGCCUGGGGUACUGGAAGGUCCUCAGGCCGAAAGGGGCAUCUGCCCGCCCGAGGAUGGGCCGGCGGCCGAUUAGGUAGUUGGUGGGGUAACGGCCCACCAAGCCGAAGAUCGGUACGGGCCAUGAGAGUGGGAGCCCGGAGAUGGACACUGAGACACGGGUCCAGGCCCUACGGGGCGCAGCAGGCGCGAAACCUCCGCAAUGCGGGCAACCGCGACGGGGGGACCCCCAGUGCCGUGGCAUAGCCACGGCUUUUCCGGAGUGUAAAAAGCUCCGGGAAUAAGGGCUGGGCAAGGCCGGUGGCAGCCGCCGCGGUAAUACCGGCGGCCCGAGUGGUGGCCGCUAUUAUUGGGCCUAAAGCGUCCGUAGCCGGGCCCGUAAGUCCCUGGCGAAAUCCCACGGCUCAACCGUGGGGCUUGCUGGGGAUACUGCGGGCCUUGGGACCGGGAGAGGCCGGGGGUACCCCUGGGGUAGGGGUGAAAUCCUAUAAUCCCAGGGGGACCGCCAGUGGCGAAGGCGCCCGGCUGGAACGGGUCCGACGGUGAGGGACGAAGGCCAGGGGAGCGAACCGGAUUAGAUACCCGGGUAGUCCUGGCUGUAAAGGAUGCGGGCUAGGUGUCGGGCGAGCUUCGAGCUCGCCCGGUGCCGAAGGGAAGCCGUUAAGCCCGCCGCCUGGGGAGUACGGCCGCAAGGCUGAAACUUAAAGGAAUUGGCGGGGGAGCACUACAAGGGGUGGAGCGUGCGGUUUAAUUGGAUUCAACGCCGGGAACCUCACCGGGGGCGACGGCAGGAUGAAGGCCAGGCUGAAGGUCUUGCCGGACACGCCGAGAGGAGGUGCAUGGCCGCCGUCAGCUCGUACCGUGAGGCGUCCACUUAAGUGUGGUAACGAGCGAGACCCGCGCCCCCAGUUGCCAGUCCUCCCCGCUGGGGAGGAGGCACUCUGGGGGGACCGCCGGCGAUAAGCCGGAGGAAGGAGCGGGCGACGGUAGGUCAGUAUGCCCCGAAACCCCCGGGCUACACGCGCGCUACAAUGGGCGGGACAAUGGGAUCCGACCCCGAAAGGGGAAGGGAAUCCCCUAAACCCGCCCCCAGUUCGGAUCGCGGGCUGCAACUCGCCCGCGUGAAGCUGGAAUCCCUAGUACCCGCGUGUCAUCAUCGCGCGGCGAAUACGUCCCUGCUCCUUGCACACACCGCCCGUC